Dipodomys ordii (Ord's kangaroo rat) is the source of this 65-nucleotide non-coding RNA. Lineage: Eukaryota; Metazoa; Chordata; Mammalia; Rodentia; Heteromyidae. The record is from Rfam.
GGUGGCUCAGUGGUAGAGUGCUUGCCUUGCAUGCACGAGGCCCUGAGUUUGAUUCCUCAGCACCA